GGAUAGCUCAGUUGGUUAAAGUGUGGUUCAGAUGACGCCAAGGUUGCAGGUGCAAUUCCUGUAUGGGACA
Non-coding RNA from Podarcis lilfordi (Lilford's wall lizard), 70 nucleotides. The record is from the annotation of a GenBank genome assembly. NCBI's taxonomy places the organism in Eukaryota, Metazoa, Chordata, Lepidosauria, Squamata, Lacertidae.